This is a long non-coding RNA of Austrofundulus limnaeus, 2671 nucleotides long. RefSeq lists it as uncharacterized. Lineage: Eukaryota; Metazoa; Chordata; Actinopteri; Cyprinodontiformes; Rivulidae. The transcript has 3 exons. The record is from RefSeq and is a predicted model, not a curated record.
AGACAAAAUUGGGUUUCCCAAACUAUUUCAGAAGCGGCCAAAGUAAUUCCAAUAAAUGAGUAACUCAUGGCAGAGGGGUUUCUGACGGCGAGGAUGCUUUCAUGGUGGAAAAUAUGGCUUCACGUGGUCCAUUUGAUGGAUUCGAAGUGAAGCAGCUGUAAACUCCACAGCACACGAUGUCAGUCCGAACCAUCAGACAGCGGCAGGUUUUUCUCUGCUUCUGCGAGCAUCAAACACUAAAUCUUCAACGGUUUCAUAUGAAUUUCCCAAAGCAGAUAUAUGGAUCUGUGGGCAAGCAGCCUGUCUCAGGAGUGUGUUUGAUGAUGGCAUUUUAUUGUUCCAGAAGGUCAAGAUCUUCAAAGCUCUCCUUCUGUUCUCCGCAGGGCACUCGGGCUGCAGCUGUCAGCAUACACUCGGCUUUGUGUUUUUCUAUGAGAGAAGAGAGCGGGAAGCGUGUGAAUCCUGUCGGAUGGGACGUCACCACCGCCGUGUCUGACGCUGAUCAAAUAGCCUUUUUGGCACGAUUCAGCACUGUGCCCGCACUCUGCAUUUACACACAUGCGGGCUCUUUGAAGUUGUUGCCCGGGUGCUGUUGGACAAAAGAGCCCCCAUCAGCUGGACUUAAGGAUGGAAUGGCAGGGGGGUUACGAAARGGGAUUGGUGAAUAAAGAAUCAAAGUAACUGGGAUGGGGGGCCUGCUGGCGGAGUACUCGAUGUGAGACUGUGAACCAUGUACCCCUCACAGUCCCAGUCCCAAAGGCCUGGAGUUCACAGGUGUCAUUGCAUUUUUUUUCUUGCGCUACAUCACGYCUUUCUGUAGCCAUGCUAGUUCAUGUUGUUUGUUUUUGUCCCUUACAAAGAAAAACUCAUAUUUUAAGUCUUGCAUUCAGGGUGAUGUGAAAGACCACCAGCUGUUUGCUGGGCUGAGAGCAACUGUCUGUGCCAUGCACCUUACACUGUGGCUUUGCAACCUUUCUUGUGUCUGCUUGGACUUUCACAGCAAGGGCUACUGAUGCCACAGCAGCCCUUCUCGCUCCCAUAGCUGCAAAGUGACCGUUUGUAUUCCCUCAACCCAUCAAAUCCCCGCAGGACCACUCAGGUUCACUAGAGGUAAAAUUUGUGCAGCCGCCUUUGGUGGUGCCGACACAGCAGACCCAUUUUUUUUCACCCAGGGCCUCAUUAAAGCUGAAAACAUCCCCUUCAGUCUGAAUCUUAUUGUUCAGUGGGCUCAGCGCUUAAUUGUAAUUAAAGACAACAAUGUGCAGCUAAUGUCUUUCAGGAUCAACAAAGGCUUUUUGAAAAUUUUGAAAGUUGUAUUUUUAUGCAAACAAAAACAGAUGGGUGAACCUUUUUGAUAAAACUUUUUCAAAAUAUUUUAAAGGACAAAACUAAGACAUUUUGUAACUAAUAAACUGAGUUUCAGAUACAAUCAUUUUUUUCGGUUGUAAUAAUUUACUUCAACCAAAAAAAAAAAACAUUCAUCUAAGAACUUAAUCUGUUUUCUGCACAUUAUGGGAUUCCAGUUUCAACAGUUAUUUACAAAACAACACAAAAACUAUCUAACAGAAUGAAAAGCAUCAAUUAAAGUGUCCAUUGAAACUUAAAAGUUGUGUUUCUGUUGGCUGCUCCCUUCUGCAGGGUCAUCAAACUUAAAAAAAUUGGUAAAUCUAUUAUAACAGAUGCGCAUCCAGAUGCAACCUAGGACUGAACCUGGUUUCAGGAUUUCAAGUUCAUGGCACUGACCUUGGAGCUACAGAAGUUCCUACAGUUUUCCAUAAAGUGUUAUUUUUCAAUAAAUUUUCCAUUUCAUUGUUUACUGUUACAAUAUACAGGUUUUCAAGCAUCAUGUUUGGAGCACUCUAAAUCCCAUAAAAAAUCCGAUUUGAUAUUUUCACCUGUUUGAUCUCAACAAUUCCAUCUAGAGCAUUUUCAUGGCAUGCAAAGUGGAAAACUCAGGUAAUGGAGUUAGUCUGAUCACAGCGAUUUUGGUUCCCAGGUUGUUUUCCACUGUAAUUAGCAGAUCAAAGCGUAAUGUUCUGGGUCACUUGUUCAACUCGCCCCACGUAUAUACAGUCAUCAGCGUGUUUAGAUCCCAGAACCGCGAGGUUUGCUCGUCUAUGGAUUCAGCAUACAUCUUCACUUUUUAUUUGUUUGCUUGUGCGCAGUCACGAAACAAGCAGAGGGUGAAGAGCAUGGGCUCCACAUGCUAGAAGGGCCAUGGCUCUGUAAGCCACCUGGGCUGGUGAAAAAAAAAAAAAAAACUCCCCACUGGAAAUAGUCAUAGCACAGAUGAAUGAAAAGUGUGUAAACAGUCUGYGAACCAUCACUGUGAGCGAGGUGGAAGGAUGCAACCUUAACAUCUGUCCUACAAGCUCCACUUAAGAGCAAUUAGGCCUCAUUCAUGGGCUGUGCAGUAAACAGAUCCACAGCUUAUCUUCUUGCGGUCAGUUUUGCUGCAGCUGGUUUUGGACGACAACAGAAGGUUUCAAAUGCUCUGGCUGCUGGAGAAGAUUUCGGUGUAGAUGGAUACAACUCUGAGAAAGAUGUCUGGGAUGUUUUAUUGUUGGUAUUUGAGUCAGUAGAAGGUGCAGAAAUUGAAGAAAGUUCACAAAGAUCUCACCCAAAACUUCAAAGACAUUAWAAAAUAAUAAAAGGAAGUCGSUCAAUCAAA